CUGCGCGACAUGUGGCCGAAGGGGUGGGGCCUGGGCUGUCGCGAAACCCCUAACGCUUUACGUAGACCUACGCACGGACGAGGGGCAAGGCCUGAGUCCCUGACGGGGUCUGUGGAUUCGCGACUUCCUGUCGGUGGGAGAGAGAGGAAGAGAGAAACAUCAUGAUGUGAGGGAGAAACAUUAAUCAGCUGCUUCCUGUAUGGGGCCCUGACAAGGGAUCAAACCUGCAACCUUUUGGUGUACCAGUGGAGCCUCCAACCAACUGAGCCACCGGGUUAGGCCCGACUGGGUGCGAUUUUAGAUUGCCUGCUCAGGGAAGGCCUCUGAGGAAGUGACAUUUAAACUAAGAUCUGAGAAUUACAACAGCUAGCUCUGAGAACAUCUUUAGGAGGAGCUUUAGGAGAAGGCAGAGGAUGCAGAGCUAGAUCAAAAGUUCCGAGGCAGGAACAUCUUGGCAAGUUGAAGAAUUUGAAGGCUGAUAGUUGGGGUAUGGUAAGGGAGGAGUAUAAAAUGAAGUUUGAAAAACUUCUAGAGGCCCUGCUUUCACUCUCUUGGGACCUGCCAUCACCAAGUACAGAACAUAGGCUCUUCUGCUGGAGAGCCACAUGGAGGAGAACCGAAGCAUCCUGGCUGACAGCCCCAGCCAACCACCCUGGUUGUGAAUGAGGCCAUCCUGGACCAGGAUGGUCCAGGUGACUCCAGCCACAUGGACAGCCACAUGAACAGCCACAUGAACAACUUCAGAUGAGACCAGCAGCAGAAUUGCCUGGCUAAAAACUGCAGAUUUAUGAGUAAAUGGUUAUUGUUUUA
Phyllostomus hastatus (greater spear-nosed bat) is the source of this 810-nucleotide long non-coding RNA. RefSeq lists it as uncharacterized. The record is from RefSeq and is a predicted model, not a curated record. The transcript has 3 exons. NCBI's taxonomy places the organism in Eukaryota, Metazoa, Chordata, Mammalia, Chiroptera, Phyllostomidae.